CGCCUGGGGAGUACGGGUGAGGUAACGGCUCACCAAGGCGACGACGGGUAACCGGCCUGAGAGGGUGACCGGUCACACUGGGACUGAGACACGGCCCAGACUCCUACGGGAGGCAGCAGUGGGGAAUAUUGCACAAUGGGCGAAAGCCUGAUGCAGCAACGCCGCGUGAGGGAUGAAGGCCUUCGGGUUGUAAACCUCUUUUAGCAGGGAAGAAGCGAAAGUGACGGUACCUGCAGAAAAAGCACCGGCUAACUACGUGCCAGCAGCCGCGGUAAUACGUAGGGUGCAAGCGUUGUCCGGAAUUAUUGGGCGUAAAGAGCUCGUAGGCGGUUUGUCACGUCUGCUGUGAAAAUCCAAGGCUCAACCUUGGACUUGCAGUGGGUACGGGCAGGCUAGAGUGCGGGGGGGGAGAUGGGAAUUCCUGGUGUAGCGGUGGAAUGCGCAGAUAUCAGGAGGAACACCAAUGGCGAAGGCACAUCUCUGGGCCGUAACUGACGCUGAGGAGCGAAAGCGUGGGGAGCGAACAGGAUUAGAUACCCUGGUAGUCCACGCCGUAAACGGUGGGUGCUAGCUGUGGGCCACAUUCCACGUGGUCCGUGACGAAGUUAACACAUUAAGCACCCCGCCUGGGGAGUACGG
This 639-nucleotide ribosomal RNA is filed under the name uncultured Actinomycetes bacterium. Its description in RNAcentral is "bacterial SSU rRNA". It matches the Rfam family "Bacterial small subunit ribosomal RNA", at positions 234 to 885 of the family's 1533-position model. The record is from RNAcentral. Lineage: Bacteria; Bacillati; Actinomycetota; Actinomycetes.